CUCUUCUCAUGAGCUCCUCUUAAUCUUACCCAUGAUUCUGCAUGGAUUCGCACGAGAAGUAGAGUCAGUGCACAGUAAGAACGGGCUCAUCCUAGUCACGUGUGGGUGCUGCACAUGUCUGCUGUGCAACAAGU
This 134-nucleotide small nucleolar RNA is filed under the name Anabas testudineus (climbing perch). RNAcentral's name for it is "Small nucleolar RNA SNORA75 (ENSATEG00000013368.2)". It matches the Rfam family "Small nucleolar RNA SNORA75". Rfam says of the family: U23 belongs to the H/ACA class of snoRNAs. snoRNAs bind a number of proteins (including dyskerin, Gar1p and Nop10p in the case of the H/ACA class) to form snoRNP complexes. This class are thought to guide the sites of modification of uridines to pseudouridines by forming direct base pairing interactions with substrate RNAs. The record is from Rfam by way of RNAcentral. Lineage: Eukaryota; Metazoa; Chordata; Actinopteri; Anabantiformes; Anabantidae.